Molecule: non-coding RNA, 70 nt
Filed under: unclassified sequences
Also listed under: 1 other name
Description: Cyano-1 RNA
Rfam family: Cyano-1 RNA
Source: RNAcentral
UGGCGUGUGAAGGAGUAGUUCUACUUUAUCAGUGGAAACAAGGAAACACUUGAUUAAGUAGAACCAAUAA